Triticum aestivum (bread wheat) is the source of this 1577-nucleotide long non-coding RNA. RefSeq lists it as uncharacterized. Lineage: Eukaryota; Viridiplantae; Streptophyta; Magnoliopsida; Poales; Poaceae. The record is from RefSeq and is a predicted model, not a curated record. The transcript has 2 exons.
UCACUUUUAUUUCUAUUUUUUGUGGAAUGUGCACUGGUAAGUGAUACAUUAUUCUAACAUAUUUGUUCAUGACUUCAUGUUGAUGCAGAAUUCUGUUGGGGAGAAAAGCAAGUGCAAAGAGGAUGGGGGCUCUACAACAAUCAGUUGCAAGGUGUGUAUGGCUGUAUGCCUACCAAAUUCUACUUAAUUCUGUUGCUUACAAGUCUCUAAGGCGUCGCCUCGCCUUAUGCCUCAGCGCUUAGGCAGUGAGGCGCCCCCCCAGCGCCUCGCCUCGCCUUACCGCCUUAAAAACAUAGGACACAUCCACCUCCUUACCAAGCUCUUUUUGUCGCUCUGCUGUCCUUCAGAUUCUCUGAAUAACUUGAAUAUCAGCUUGAAAAAUUCGAGCAACAUCCUUCUUGUCAGUUCUUUUGAACUUGCCACCCCUACUCAUAUUCAGCGUAAGCAUUGCCAUGUGGUGAGCAGUUCAGGUCUGGGAGCAUUUUGUGCUGCUGCUGCUAUGUUCCGGUACUGUUGAUGUGAUACUGCUUCUCCUCUUGCUACUGAUCCUGUGUUGUUGCUCCACUUGCUACUGUUGUUGUGCUGGUGCUGCUCUUGCUGAUAAUGCUGCUAAUAAUGCCGCCUGCUAUUGAUACUGCUGAUAAUGCUGUUGUUGUUGCUGGUCCUCUUGAUCAACUGCUCCUCUUGAUCAGCUGUUGUGUUAAUGAUGCUCUUAAUGCUUUUGUUGUCCUAAUCCUGAGCUAUCGAUCUCUUGAUGUGGAGUAAUUUGAAGAUCUCUUUUGUUGUCCUACUCCUGUACUCUUGAUCUUGAUCUGGAGCACACCUGAUUCCUUGAUCUGGAGUAAUUUGAAGAUCUCCUGAUCUGGUGUUGUGCUAUGAUGAGAAAUUAUUGCUACUGUGAUUUAUUGCUGCUCUCGAAGCUACUCCUCUUGAUCUUAUACUCCACUGUCAAGCACAUGGAUCUUGUACUCCACUAUAGUGGAAUUGAUUUUGAUCUCGUAUCUUGCUAAUGUAUUGCUUCUCCUUGCUCUGGGCGACGCGAGGAGUACCUGGGCGAGGAGCACCUGGGCGCGAGGAGGAGGGCUAGGGCGCGAGGAGGAGGACCUGGGCGCGCGAGCAGGAGGGCCAGGGCGCGAGGAGGACCUGGGCGCGCGAGGAGGAGGGCCUGGGCGCGGCGACGGCAAGGCUGGGCGCGAGGAGGAGGACCAGGGCACGGCAACGGCCAGGCUGGGCGCGUGGAGGGGCCCGGCGGCGACAAGGCUGGGCGCAGCCAGGCGAUGGGGACGAGCGGGUGACGACGGGGACCAGCUCCUGGACACAGCCAGGCGACGGCGACGGCAAGGCUGGGGGCGUGGAUACGGGGACGACGCGAGGAAGAAGACGACUGGUUCGAAAUUCAAAAUAAGGGCAUAAUGGUCUAUUUGCACUUUUGUCGGCUGUGUCUGAAAAUCCCUCAACGUCUUAUAAAUCUUUCCAGAGGGAGUACUUUGUUUUCUUGCGAAAAUAUGAAUUCUCUUUUGUCAUGAAUUCUAUAUCGAAAAGGGAUUAAUAAAACUAUAUGCUCUCUGCUCUGUAUC